Molecule: ribosomal RNA, 193 nt
Filed under: Chaetodon capistratus (four-eye butterflyfish)
Lineage: Eukaryota; Metazoa; Chordata; Actinopteri; Chaetodontiformes; Chaetodontidae
Description: partial large subunit ribosomal RNA
Source: RNAcentral
AUGAAGACCUGUAUGAAUGGCAUAACGAGGGCCUAGCUGUCUCCUUUUUCAGGUCAAUGAAAUUGAUCUCCCCGUGCAGAAGCGGGCAUGAUCCCAUAAGACGAGAAGACCCUAUGGAGCUUUAGACAAAAGGUAGACCAUGUUAAACACCCUUUGAUAAAAGGCCAAACUCAAUAUCCACUACCCAAAUGUC